Molecule: transfer RNA, 85 nt
Filed under: Pseudomonadota bacterium
Lineage: Bacteria; Pseudomonadati; Pseudomonadota
Also listed under: 1 other name
Description: tRNA-Leu
Rfam family: tRNA
About the family: Transfer RNA (tRNA) molecules are approximately 80 nucleotides in length. Their secondary structure includes four short double-helical elements and three loops (D, anti-codon, and T loops). Further hydrogen bonds mediate the characteristic L-shaped molecular structure. tRNAs have two regions of fundamental functional importance: the anti-codon, which is responsible for specific mRNA codon recognition, and the 3' end, to which the tRNAs corresponding amino acid is attached (by aminoacyl-tRNA synthetases). tRNAs cope with the degeneracy of the genetic code in two manners: having more than one tRNA (with a specific anti-codon) for a particular amino acid; and 'wobble' base-pairing, i.e. permitting non-standard base-pairing at the 3rd anti-codon position.
Source: RNAcentral
GCCGGAGUGGUGGAACUGGCAGACGCGCUGGACUCAAAAUCCAGUGGACCCAAAGUCCGUGAGGGUUCAAAUCCCUCCUCCGGCA